AGAUUGAACGCUGGCGGCAGGCCUAACACAUGCAAGUCGAGCGGUAGAGAGGUGCUUGCAUCUCUUGAGAGCGGCGGACGGGUGAGUAAUGCCUAGGAAUCUGCCUAGUGGGUGGGGGAUAACGUUCGGAAACGGACGCUAAUACCGCAUACGUCCUACGGGAGAAAGCGGGGGACCUUCGGGCCUCGCGCCAUUAGAUGAGCCUAGGUCGGAUUAGCUAGUUGGUGAGGUAAUGGCUCACCAAGGCGACGAUCCGUAACUGGUCUGAGAGGAUGAUCAGUCACACUGGAACUGAGACACGGUCCAGACUCCGUACGGGA
RNAcentral lists this ribosomal RNA (320 nucleotides) under uncultured soil bacterium. RNAcentral's name for it is "bacterial SSU rRNA". It matches the Rfam family "Bacterial small subunit ribosomal RNA", at positions 26 to 346 of the family's 1533-position model. The record is from RNAcentral.